AAGGGAAUUUUCCUAACUGAAAACAAAUAGUUAAAGUCAAUAUUUUCUUUUCACUAUCAUAACUGUACUGUAGAUACCAUUAAAUUCUAACUUGGGAAUCAUUUAAUUCUUCCUUCUGUAUUUAUGGAGAGUUCAUGAAUCCAGACUGAUGAGCUGCAGCUCCAGUACCAAAAAGUGUUGCAGAAAGGAGGAAUAGAAAGCAGAAGCUGGAAAGAACGAUAAAACAAUCAAGACUUGACAGAAAUUAAAAUCUGCAUGAAGAUGUAUGGGAAGCACAGCCAUUCCAGCAAUAUCCCAUAUUUGCACCACCUUAGGCAUGGAAUUUAUUUCAUAUGUAUAUAUAUAUACAUAUAUUAUGCAAAGCAAAAUAUAGAAAACGUAUAUAACAACAUAAACAUAUAUAUGUAUAAAGAACUUAAAUAUAGAUGUUGUACUGUUCAAAAGUUUCUAUCCAUUCUUCCACAAUUCUUCCAUUCAUGAAGAAUUGUGAUACUUACUUCCAAUUCCCAGUCCUUAAAAUAAGCAACAAAUAUAGUUCUUUAUGGAUAUUCAGGCUCCACUUCCUGCCAAUGUCAAGGACAACAGGCUCCAAAUUUUAGGUCUUGGGAUGCAGUACAAUGUUCUGCAGCAUAAAGGCCCCAAAGCAGACAACAUAAAGAAAAUAUAAGGUGUUGAUAAGUAAAAACGCUUUUUUUUCUAACUACUUUCUGUAUUAUCUACUUCCAUUCCAUCAAGGACAUGCUGCAUGCAUAAUGAAAGUAGUCUUCUAUUACUGCUUCCUUGUAAAUACCACAAAAUGACAGUUGUGCCCCACCUGCUCUGAGAAAAGAAAUAGAAGCACAAUUGACUAUUCAGCCAGGUGCACUUCUUUCAAAACAUUUGUGGCAACGCAGCUACAAAUUAGAGGAAAUAUUUAUCAGAAGACCCACCAACUCUCUUCAUCAUCCUUUUAAGCAGCAACAGGGAAGUAGUAUCAGUACCAAACUGCCUUGAUUUCAGGCUCCUUGCACUUCUUAAUUGGCGUGAACAAGAGGAACAGUGCUUGGUCCUGAUAUCCUACCUGAAUGAUGAAGAUACUGGAGCCUCUGAAGACGCAACGGGAAGAAAGAGCCUUGCCUUCCCCAAGCUGAUUACUUCCACCUUCUCUUGAACAGAAUCUUCUUAGGUACACCUUUAAAAGGUGAUGUACCACUGAACAGGAGGAAAGUGCUUCAGACAGCUAAAUCUGGGAUAAAAAAACUAUAAAGGUAUGUAUAUCCAAAAUGUGUGUAACAUUCAGACAAAAGACUGCAUUUUUGUAAUAACAAUCUACUCCUUUCUUCCAUUUCCACAAAAAAAUGCAGAGAAGUCCUUUUUCAGAGCUCAGAAUACACGUGAAGUAUUUCAAGAUAGCAAACCCAUAGCAAAAAUUGACAACAGUGCUGCAGAUCUCAACUGAUGAGUUUCUUUACAAGUUUCAUUACUAUCUUUGAGAAGUGAAUUGGCAGCAGCUUUGUUCAAUUAACUCUGACAUAAACAAAGUAUGAGAACUAUUUAUCAGUACUUAAGCCUUUUAUCAUAUACUUUUAUCAUCCAUAAGACAUCACACACAAUAUCAAACCUCCAGUUCUGAGAGAUGAACCAACAUUUUCUAAGCACCACCACUCCUGUUCCAACAGACCGACUUGUAGACACAAAUCUCUUUAAGAAAUUUGAGUUCAGGUCCUGGAGAAAACUACAGGAGCUGCAACUUAAAAAGCUUCUGUUCUCUUACUGAUAGGUGGAGGGCAGCAGCAGAAAGAACAGUGCACUCCAUGAGGGUGGCACAGGGCUGCAUUUGAUAGUUUACACUGUAAAUGUGCCACCCCAGAUAGCUGGCGUGCAGUACUCUUCUGCUGCCACACCCAGGCACGUGCACCUGCCUACUUACUACUUCCCUUCCAACUGCCCAACUUCCAAUAGCUUCAUUCGCAUUUAAAAAGCAAUGGGGUUUGAUUUUAUGACAUUUAUUGCUACCUCACACUUAAGAUGAGCACACUUUACUAACAAAUUAACCCCAAAUUAGUUUCGCAGUUGGUGGGUUUGCUUUUCUUUCUAAGAGGUCCUAACAACAAGCAGUGGGCAGUACUCUGAUGAUAAAGGGCACUGCACAGAGGAGCAACUCUCACUAGCCAAGGACAACCCUUUUUCAAAACAGAGAUGGAGACAUUCGGAUCUGGAGAGCUUUGGUCUUAAAGGGAACUGUUUGGAAGGCCAGUGACUGCACAGCAUAUAAUUUGUAGUUUUGUCAUCUACCAAGGCAGGGAAAGAUCUGUUGGACUACCUAAAAGGCCAUUUAAAAUCCUGUCCACUUAUCUUUCAGAAAUUUGCAAAUAUCGCAUCUCCUCACUUUCUGUGGAAAGAAUAUUGAAGAAUACAGAAGCUGGUUCAAUUAUUUGUUUGAAAAUUGCCAGUUUCUUCCCAGCUAGCAAUGAGCCACUUGCAGGAAUGCAGAGGUCAGCUUUGCUGGCUUCUAUACCCAGGAAUUGCAACUUUGCCACUGAAAUGAGUAAAAAGAAACAGAAUUCAAACAAAAACCACGUUUUCCUUUCUUUAUCUUCCCUGGAACUACAACAGCACCAAAAAGCAGACUUUUGGUGACCCUUCACUCUAACAAACAUUCAGGAUUAUACAUUUAUACCUUGGGAAAUAUUAAUGAAACAUUUUUUAAUAGAAUAAUGUUACUAGCUUUAAGCCACAAAAACCCCUAGUGACUGUGCUUAUGAAGACUAUAUAAAAGGAAGUAGAGACUCUUCCUUCUCCUUCAACCAUUUUUUUCCCUCUCUUUUUCUCAACUGAGAGGCAUAUGGCCAUAGGAUACCCUUCUGUGUUCUAAUUAUAUUGCUAAAAGACAUGCCCUAGACAUUUUGUUAGGAUGGGACAGAGACAGGAUAAGGACUUCUUAUAAUAAAACAAACUGCUCUAAAAAGCCCUUCUAUCACUGUCACAUCAAACUGGAAUCAGUAGUACCACAGUGAGGACAAAAUGCUCUCAUCAUUAUAAUCUGUAGCCAGGCAAUGCUUCUUUUUUUUUUCCCCCCUGAAUAAAAUUAAGCAAUAAAACAAACAAACAAACAGAUAUCUGAUAACAUUUGCUAGGCUAAGCUUUUAUUAGCAAUGAAACCACCAGAGCCCCUUGAAGAGAGAUCGCACACCAGGGUAACUCUUAGAGAAUUUUCCCAAGACAUCCAGUUAGGUGAUCAAACUGUUUCAGACAGCCUGGACUGAGACACUGUAACCACAGUUACAGGUAGCACAGGAUGGCAAGCACAGCUCAGCCUAACAAAGAGAAACAGCUCAGAUGCUAUUCAAAUGGCCAGUUAAUAUGCCCACUACAGAAAUGCCAUAAGGCCAUUUGAUGAAGUCACCACCAAAACUCCCAUUGUGAGGAACAUUUUUAUUACAUUUGUAAGUACAGGACUUGCUGCCCUCCUUUCAUACACUGUCUCUGUACUUAGCAGUGUUAUUCUGAGUAAUUAGCACUAUCCUGGAACAACCUGAGGAUGUUACAGGAUAGCCAACUUCCUGUAUUCAAGCCCAGUGGACAGACAGGUUGCAAUCAUACUGUAUAUCGCAUAUCAAGUCUACGAAUGCAAAUGGUGCCAAAUGGCUACUAAGAUACAUUUGCAGGAUUCUACUUCAAGUGGACUUCAGCUUCCAGGACAUCUUUUAAGGAACAAUGGAAGAUACACUUUUUUCCCCCGCCCCAAAGAUCUACUUUGAAUCAGGGACCAGUCUUCUGGGAAGUUUUCCGAUUGAGUAUCAUGAUAAAGCAUUAGCAUUUGAAUCUCAAGCUGCACGUGCACAGCAAAAAA
Molecule: non-coding RNA, 3832 nt
Organism: Meleagris gallopavo (turkey)
Lineage: Eukaryota; Metazoa; Chordata; Aves; Galliformes; Phasianidae
Source: RefSeq, a predicted model, not a curated record